Long non-coding RNA from Apis mellifera (honey bee), 2062 nucleotides. RefSeq lists it as uncharacterized. The transcript has 4 exons. Lineage: Eukaryota; Metazoa; Arthropoda; Insecta; Hymenoptera; Apidae. The record is from RefSeq and is a predicted model, not a curated record.
AAGAAGUGAGUAUUUUUAAAAUGUUCGCAUAUUAACGACCGGAGAAUUGUUUUUGCUGCAGCACAAGGGAGAGGAUCGAAGGGCGUCGCGGUGGCUGGGAAGGCAACAAUUUCUUGGCACGGCCAUCGUCUAGCCGUGUAAUCAUUUUUGGCAGUGAGGUGCAUCGAACGUAAAAAGCAGCUGGAAUUUCGCCAGUUGCAGAGGCAACAUUGCAUCACCUGUUACUGGCUUUAUAUACGAGUCAGAAGAAAAGAUGAUGGUGUUCAUCUCGCUUUUUCAUCACGUGAAAAUGAAUAAAUGCUAUAUAUAUCGUUUGGAAUAAAAUAUAAAGUAAGAUAUCACCUAUCUGAUUAUCGAGAGCGAAAGAAAUAUAACGUAAUAAAUAACUGGAAUAAUUUCACGAACUUCUAAAGAAGAUAAAAAGACAAGAAACAAGAUACCUUCAAAGAAAGAAUUUCCAUACGUUCGAUACAAUUUCUUAACGAGUUUUAUCAAAAACUUUUCGUAUCAAACGAAAAGUACUGAUUUACAAAAAAAAAAGAAGAAGAAGAAGAGAAAGCUUCUGGAAAAGAUAAAAACGUGAAAGAAGUAUCUUCCGGGGAGAAGACGCGGGAGGAAACUUCCGUGUACAGUUGGCAACCUCUUAACAAGUCUUAAGAACAAAUGCGACUACUCCGCGUAACCUUAAUGGCGAACAACACUUUGCAGCACGCUGCAAUUUCGCUCUUGAGUAAAAUGUAUGUACGACUUCAUUUUUAACUUAUCUGGAAUGGAAUAUUAAAAUGCUUCUUUAGCAUCGUUGCGCUUGUUUCGAGCCAAGUUGUUUUAAACUUUCACGAACGAAGUUACCAAUUAAAUUUUAGAAUUUUGAAAUAUCGAAUCGUUUCAAGCUAUUUCAAAACGUUUCUCUAUCUACUAGUUUCCAUCGAUGAAAACUUGUUACUUAUAAGAUUUUUGAUUUUUCUAUUCCAAGUGAAAAAGAAGGAAAGAAAGAAGACGAAUGAGCAGCGUGUUGGGAGGCAAGUCUUCGACAAGAUUUCUCACUUGGCCAGCAACCUCUUACCCCGAUCUAAGAACUAAAGUGACCUCAAAGAUAUACAUAUAUAUACGUGUUUUCCACGUGUGAUGCCAUUUCUUUCAGAGUGCUCGAAUGCGUGUUGCGAGGGUGGUCAGCCUCUGCCGAGAUUGUCGACAGUUAGGGCAACACGUAGCUGCAUAAUCGUAUGCAGAUACACGACUGGCCGUACACUCAUCCGCCAAACUCCAUUCGUACUCCACAUGCAAAUCGUGCACUUGCCAGCGGACCCGCCGGCAGUAGUUAGUAGUGUAUGAUCGAGCGCCUGGCCCGUUUCCCUAUUGGUACAUCAGUUAUGUUUCGUGCAUUAACGUGCAUUGCCUGAAUUCGGAACCACACACGAUUCCUUCGUUAGCCUAACCUAGGUGAAUUAUAUAGGCAAGCUGCGAUAAGAAUGGAGGAUUAUCGAUUUUCGUAUUAAAUUGAAAGAUGAAGAACGAGAAGAAGCGAUGAAAAAUGGCGGGAAACGGAAUUUGAAAUUAGAAGAAGUACACUGAACGAUAAAUACGAAUUGUUUUUUUUUUUUGGAAGAGUUUUUUGAUGCGACCAUAUUGGAAAUUCUACGUGACCGGCUUCGAAUGCGUUAAUAUUGCGCUUUGAAAUUAACAAUCGUGGUUGGGAUUAUGGAUUCAAUUUAAUAAUUUUAAUAAAGUUCAAUUUGAACUUUAGGUUAAUUAAAUGUUAUUAAUUAUAAAUUAUGCAUAAUUUAAUAUUCUGCAACGGUAAAUAUCUAAUUUCGAGUGAAAUGAUUCGAAGGAAAAGAAUUAAAAAUGAUUUAAUUUAAAUCAGCUCUAUAUCUAUAUAUUGUUCGAGGCACAAUUUCGAAGACAAUUAACAAAGAAAAUGGCAAUGAAAUAUGAUUAGCGACGAAGAAUUAAGAAUUAAUACUCAAAUUGAUUCAAUUUCAUCCAUCAUCCGAAUUAAAAUUAUAUUUUGAAAAAAGAAAUCUACGUUUGAAUAAUAAUGAUGAUGGAUCUGAAAUUUUCG